GACGAACGCUGGCGGCGUGCUUAACACAUGCAAGUCGAACGGAAAGGCCCUGCUUUUGUGGGGUGCUCGAGUGGCGAACGGGUGAGUAACACGUGAGUAACCUGCCCUUGACUUUGGGAUAACUUCAGGAAACUGGGGCUAAUACCGGAUAGGAGCUCCUGCUGCAUGGUGGGGGUUGGAAAGUUUCGGCGGUUGGGGAUGGACUCGCGGCUUAUCAGCUUGUUGGUGGGGUAGUGGCUUACCAAGGCUUUGACGGGUAGCCGGCCUGAGAGGGUGACCGGCCACAUUGGGACUGAGAUACGGCCCAGACUCCUACGGGAGGCAGCAGUGGAGAAUAUUGCACAAUGGGCGGAAGCCUGAUGCGGCAACGCCGCGUGCGGGAUGACGGCCUUCGGGUUGUAAGCCGCUUUCGCCUGUGACGAAGCGUGAGUGACGGUACCUGGAGAAGAAGGACCGGCCAACUACGUG
RNAcentral lists this ribosomal RNA (468 nucleotides) under uncultured bacterium. RNAcentral's name for it is "partial 16S ribosomal RNA". It matches the Rfam family "Bacterial small subunit ribosomal RNA", at positions 28 to 507 of the family's 1533-position model. The record is from RNAcentral.